UGAGGAUGCAUUAUCCCACAUCCAACAGUGGUGACCCAUUUCAAAUGUGCAAUUCGAUCGUCCAAAUUGAUUUAAAUCAAGAUCGGAUGGCUCUGGUUGGUUGUUGGCUGAAAACUAAAUGAAGAAGAAAAUCUGAUGCACCAUCCAACGGUUGAAAAUCGACCCAUCACCUAAUCCGAUGGCUGACGGCAUUUUUGACUGUGAAUAG
RNAcentral lists this long non-coding RNA (208 nucleotides) under Elaeis guineensis (African oil palm). RNAcentral's name for it is "long non-coding RNA (EGUI_LNC064228)". Lineage: Eukaryota; Viridiplantae; Streptophyta; Magnoliopsida; Arecales; Arecaceae. The record is from RNAcentral.